Long non-coding RNA from Macaca fascicularis (crab-eating macaque), 1478 nucleotides. NCBI's taxonomy places the organism in Eukaryota, Metazoa, Chordata, Mammalia, Primates, Cercopithecidae. The record is from Ensembl.
UUUUUUUUUUUUUUUCCUUUGAGAUGGAGUCUUGCCCUGUCACCCAGGCUAGAGUGCAAUGGCGCAAUCUCAGCUUACUGCAACCUCUGCCUCUCAGGUUCAAGUGAUCCUCCUGCCUCAGCCUCCCGAGUAGCUGGGAUUACAGGCAUGCACCACCACGCCCGGCUGAGUUUUUGUAUCUUGAGUAGACAGGGUUUCAUCGUGUUGGCCAGGAUGGUCUUGAACUCUUGACCUCAUGAUCUGCCCGCCUCUGGCAUGCAUUCUUCAGGACUCAUUUUCUCUAGAGAUUGCGAUUCCCCACUUUCAGCCCACAGAGUUCAGACAGGGCAGCUAUUGGGUGCAGGUGAGCACCCAUCCUGGGUCUGACCAAUCAGAACCCCGUAUCUCCCUGUCCUGUGACUAGUUCCGGAGCGGACACGUGAUCUGAGCUGGUCCCUGCAGGGACUGCUCAAAGGCAGGAUGCUGGUGGCCCUGCAGGAGGCAUCUUGAGAGCCUGCCUGGGAAUGGGGCCAGAUCACAGGGCUGAGCGAGAGGGGAGAGGCUAGUCCUGAUGCAGCAUUUCAGACCCUGGUUCCACUUGCACACAGAGUGGGUUCUGCUACUGGACUUUUCAGUUCCCUAGCUCUUUAUCCCCCUAAAACCUAUCUGAGUUGGGUUUCUGUCACUUGUAACCAACAGUCUUGGUGAAUACACCCUGGUUGUUGGACAUUAGGGUUGCUCACAACUUUUUACUCCUCUAGAAGAUGCUGCAGUGAAUAUCUUUACAUGUAGAUUUCAUCCUUGACUAGAAUGAUUUCCUUGUGAUUUUCACAGAAGUGUGCUAUUUGGCAAAGGCAUCAAACAUUGUCGGUGUUCUAUAGACAUUUUGCAAUUUAUUUCCCCAAGGCUGGCAAUGAUUUGGAUCCUCACCUUCACUCCCCAUCAGUGUAUGUAAGUGGGAUUUUAAAAAUUGAGUUCUGAAGAGUUUUUUUUUUUAACAAGCCAAAGUUGUAUUUUUUUUAAACAGGAAAAUUAUGUCAAUAUAAAACAGAUAAAAACAGACAAAAAUCAAAACACACAACACAGAAAAGCACAACACGCAAGACCAGUGCAAACCCUUCCCAACCCACUUCCCAGGUUUUAAAACUUUGAUUACAGAUCCCCAAGGAUUAGACUGUAUUGGAGAGGUCACAGUAUUGAAUCAGAAAAGAAGACAUGUUUUAAAAGGUCUGUACACAGGUAGUGGUGUGUGGGGUGGGGGGAUGUACACUUCAUCACUCCAACAUCAAAAACAGGAUGCAAAAAGAAUUUCAGCGAUGAUCACAGAUUUCUAGAACCCUACCACGUAUGCCAGCCCCCCCAUCCCCAUCCACUUUUAAAAGUUGCUUUUAAAAAGGAUAAAAAGUGCACAGACACUUUCGUAAGGCACAGACAGAUUGUCGCACAAGUCGUUUCAUUAGGGACUCGGAUAAGACAGCGAGACAGUUAAAUACCAAGAA